Molecule: transfer RNA, 75 nt
Filed under: Canis lupus familiaris (dog)
Lineage: Eukaryota; Metazoa; Chordata; Mammalia; Carnivora; Canidae
Also listed under: 1 other name
Rfam family: tRNA
About the family: Transfer RNA (tRNA) molecules are approximately 80 nucleotides in length. Their secondary structure includes four short double-helical elements and three loops (D, anti-codon, and T loops). Further hydrogen bonds mediate the characteristic L-shaped molecular structure. tRNAs have two regions of fundamental functional importance: the anti-codon, which is responsible for specific mRNA codon recognition, and the 3' end, to which the tRNAs corresponding amino acid is attached (by aminoacyl-tRNA synthetases). tRNAs cope with the degeneracy of the genetic code in two manners: having more than one tRNA (with a specific anti-codon) for a particular amino acid; and 'wobble' base-pairing, i.e. permitting non-standard base-pairing at the 3rd anti-codon position.
Source: Rfam by way of RNAcentral
GCCUGGCUGGCUCAGUCGGUAGAGAUCAUGUGACUCUUGAUCUCAGAGUUGUGAGUUCAAACCCCAUGUUGGGUG